ACGAACGCUGGCGGCGUGCUUUAUACAUGCAAGUCAAGGAGAAAGUUUUCUUCGGAAAACGAUUAAACUGGCGAACGGGUGAGUAACGCGUAGGCAACCUGCCCUAUAGAUUGGGAUAACAUCGGGAAACUGAUGCUAAUACCGGAUGAUGCAACAUUUUCUUCGGAAAGAGUUGUUAAAGCGGGCUUCGGCUCGCGCUUUAGGAUGGGCCUGCGUCCGAUUAGCUUGUUGGUAAGGUAAUGGCUUACCAAGGCAAUGAUCGGUAGCUGGUCUGAGAGGAUGAUCAGCCACACUGGGAUUGAGAUACGGCCCAGACUCCUACGGGAGGCAGCAGUAGGGAAUUUUGCGCAAUGGGGGAAACCCUGACGCAGCAACGCCGCGUGACCGAUGAAGCAUCUAGGUGCGUAAAGGUCUGUCGUAAGGGAAGAAAAAUUCGGAUGUAAAUAAUGUUCGAAUCUGACGGUACCUUACAAGAAAGCACCGGCUAACUUCGUGCCAGCAGCCGCGGUAAUACGAGGGGUGCAAGCGUUGUCCGGAAUCACUGGGCGUAAAGGGUCCGUAGGCGUUUCAAUAAGUCAUAUGUUAAAGACACCGGCUUAACCGGUGACAUGCAUUUGAAACUGUUGAAAUAGAGUAUAGGAGAGGAAAGUGGAAUUCCUGGUGUAGCGGUGACAUGCGUAGAUAUCAGGAGGAACAUCAAUGGCGAAGGCAGCUUUCUGGCCUAUUACUGACGCUGAGGGACGAAAGCGUGGGGAGCGAACAGGAUUAGAUACCCUGGUAGUCCACGCCGUAAACGAUGAGUACUUGGUGUCGGGGGAAUCGACCCCCUCGGUACCGGAGCUAACGCAUUAAGUACUCCGCCUGGGAACUACGACCGCAAGGUUGAAACUCAAAUGAAUUGACGGGGACCCGCACAAGC
This 919-nucleotide ribosomal RNA is filed under the name uncultured bacterium. RNAcentral describes it as "bacterial SSU rRNA". It matches the Rfam family "Bacterial small subunit ribosomal RNA", at positions 29 to 930 of the family's 1533-position model. The record is from RNAcentral.